RNAcentral lists this ribosomal RNA (400 nucleotides) under uncultured bacterium. RNAcentral describes it as "bacterial SSU rRNA". It matches the Rfam family "Bacterial small subunit ribosomal RNA", at positions 60 to 505 of the family's 1533-position model. The record is from RNAcentral.
AGUCGACGAGACCUUCGGGUCUAGUGGCGCACGGGUGCGUAACGCGUCGUGUAAUCUGCCCUUGGGUUCGGAAUAACAGUUGGAAACGACUGCUAAUACCGGAUGAUGACGAAAGUCCAAAGAUUUAUCGCCCAGGGAUGAGCCCGCGUAGGAUUAGCUAGUUGGUGAGGUAAAGGCUCACCAAGGCUACGAUCCUUAGCUGGUCUGAGAGGAUGAUCAGCCACACUGGGACUGAGACACGGCCCAGACUCCUACGGGAGGCAGCAGUAGGGAAUAUUGGACAAUGGGGGCAACCCUGAUCCAGCAAUGCCGCGUGAGUGAUGAAGGCCUUAGGGUUGUAAAGCUCUUUUACCCGGGAUGAUUAUGACAGUACCGGGAGAAUCUACCCCGGCUAACUCCA